GGGGAGGUAGCUCAGUGGUAGAGUGCCUGCCUAGCAUGUUGAGGGCCUGGGUUCAAUCCCUACCCCACCCC
This 71-nucleotide transfer RNA is filed under the name Urocitellus parryii (Arctic ground squirrel). Its description in RNAcentral is "Spermophilus parryii (Arctic ground squirrel) tRNA". It matches the Rfam family "tRNA". From Rfam's summary of the family: Transfer RNA (tRNA) molecules are approximately 80 nucleotides in length. Their secondary structure includes four short double-helical elements and three loops (D, anti-codon, and T loops). Lineage: Eukaryota; Metazoa; Chordata; Mammalia; Rodentia; Sciuridae. RNAcentral also lists the same sequence under 1 other name. The record is from Rfam by way of RNAcentral.